UUAAGCGACUAAGCGUACACGGUGGAUGCCCUGGCAGUCAGAGGCGAUGAAGGACGUGCUAAUCUGCGAUAAGCGUCGGUAAGGUGAUAUGAACCGUUAUAACCGGCGAUUUCCGAAUGGGGAAACCCAGUGUGUUUCGACACACUAUCAUUAACUGAAUCCAUAGGUUAAUGAGGCGAACCGGGGGAACUGAAACAUCUAAGUACCCCGAGGAAAAGAAAUCAACCGAGAUUCCCCCAGUAGCGGCGAGCGAACGGGGAGCAGCCCAGAGCCUGAAUCAGUGUGUGUGUUAGUGGAAGCGUCUGGAAAGGCGCGCGAUACAGGGUGACAGCCCCGUACACAAAAAUGCACAUGCUGUGAGCUCGAUGAGUAGGGCGGGACACGUGGUAUCCUGUCUGAAUAUGGGGGGACCAUCCUCCAAGGCUAAAUACUCCUGACUGACCGAUAGUGAACCAGUACCGUGAGGGAAAGGCGAAAAGAACCCCGGCGAGGGGAGUGAAAAAGAACCUGAAACCGUGUACGUACAAGCAGUGGGAGCACGCUUAGGCGUGUGACUGCGUACCUUUUGUAUAAUGGGUCAGCGACUUAUAUUCUGUAGCAAGGUUAACCGAAUAGGGGAGCCGAAGGGAAACCGAGUCUUAACUGGGCGUUAAGUUGCAGGGUAUAGACCCGAAACCCGGUGAUCUAGCCAUGGGCAGGUUGAAGGUUGGGUAACACUAACUGGAGGACCGAACCGACUAAUGUUGAAAAAUUAGCGGAUGACUUGUGGCUGGGGGUGAAAGGCCAAUCAAACCGGGAGAUAGCUGGUUCUCCCCGAAAGCUAUUUAGGUAGCGCCUCGUGAAUUCAUCUCCGGGGGUAGAGCACUGUUUCGGCAAGGGGGUCAUCCCGACUUACCAACCCGAUGCAAACUGCGAAUACCGGAGAAUGUUAUCACGGGAGACACACGGCGGGUGCUAACGUCCGUCGUGAAGAGGGAAACAACCCAGACCGCCAGCUAAGGUCCCAAAGUCAUGGUUAAGUGGGAAACGAUGUGGGAAGGCCCAGACAGCCAGGAUGUUGGCUUAGAAGCAGCCAUCAUUUAAAGAAAGCGUAAUAGCUCACUGGUCGAGUCGGCCUGCGCGGAAGAUGUAACGGGGCUAAACCAUGCACCGAAGCUGCGGCAGCGACGCUGAUGCGUUGUUGGGUAGGGGAGCGUUCUGUAAGCCUGCGAAGGUGUGCUGUGAGGCAUGCUGGAGGUAUCAGAAGUGCGAAUGCUGACAUAAGUAACGAUAAAGCGGGUGAAAAGCCCGCUCGCCGGAAGACCAAGGGUUCCUGUCCAACGUUAAUCGGGGCAGGGUGAGUCGACCCCUAAGGCGAGGCCGAAAGGCGUAGUCGAUGGGAAACAGGUUAAUAUUCCUGUACUUGGUGUUACUGCGAAGGGGGGACGGAGAAGGCUAUGUUGGCCGGGCGACGGUUGUCCCGGUUUAAGCGUGUAGGCUGGUUUUCCAGGCAAAUCCGGAAAAUCAAGGCUGAGGCGUGAUGACGAGGCACUACGGUGCUGAAGCAACAAAUGCCCUGCUUCCAGGAAAAGCCUCUAAGCAUCAGGUAACAUCAAAUCGUACCCCAAACCGACACAGGUGGUCAGGUAGAGAAUACCAAGGCGCUUGAGAGAACUCGGGUGAAGGAACUAGGCAAAAUGGUGCCGUAACUUCGGGAGAAGGCACGCUGAUAUGUAGGUGAAGUCCCUUGCGGAUGGAGCUGAAAUCAGUCGAAGAUACCAGCUGGCUGCAACUGUUUAUUAAAAACACAGCACUGUGCAAACACGAAAGUGGACGUAUACGGUGUGACGCCUGCCCGGUGCCGGAAGGUUAAUUGAUGGGGUUAGCCGCAAGGCGAAGCUCUUGAUCGAAGCCCCGGUAAACGGCGGCCGUAACUAUAACGGUCCUAAGGUAGCGAAAUUCCUUGUCGGGUAAGUUCCGACCUGCACGAAUGGCGUAAUGAUGGCCAGGCUGUCUCCACCCGAGACUCAGUGAAAUUGAACUCGCUGUGAAGAUGCAGUGUACCCGCGGCAAGACGGAAAGACCCCGUGAACCUUUACUAUAGCUUGACACUGAACAUUGAGCCUUGAUGUGUAGGAUAGGUGGGAGGCUUUGAAGUGUGGACGCCAGUCUGCAUGGAGCCGACCUUGAAAUACCACCCUUUAAUGUUUGAUGUUCUAACGUGGACCCGUGAUCCGGGUUGCGGACAGUGUCUGGUGGGUAGUUUGACUGGGGCGGUCUCCUCCUAAAGAGUAACGGAGGAGCACGAAGGUUGGCUAAUCCUGGUCGGACAUCAGGAGGUUAGUGCAAUGGCAUAAGCCAGCUUGACUGCGAGCGUGACGGCGCGAGCAGGUGCGAAAGCAGGUCAUAGUGAUCCGGUGGUUCUGAAUGGAAGGGCCAUCGCUCAACGGAUAAAAGGUACUCCGGGGAUAACAGGCUGAUACCGCCCAAGAGUUCAUAUCGACGGCGGUGUUUGGCACCUCGAUGUCGGCUCAUCACAUCCUGGGGCUGAAGUAGGUCCCAAGGGUAUGGCUGUUCGCCAUUUAAAGUGGUACGCGAGCUGGGUUUAGAACGUCGUGAGACAGUUCGGUCCCUAUCUGCCGUGGGCGCUGGAGAACUGAGGGGGGCUGCUCCUAGUACGAGAGGACCGGAGUGGACGCAUCACUGGUGUUCGGGUUGUCAUGCCAAUGGCACUGCCCGGUAGCUAAAUGCGGAAGAGAUAAGUGCUGAAAGCAUCUAAGCACGAAACUUGCCCCGAGAUGAGUUCUCCCUGACUCCUUGAGAGUCCUGAAGGAACGUUGAAGACGACGACGUUGAUAGGCCGGGUGUGUAAGCGCAGCGAUGCGUUGAGCUAACCGGUACUAAUGAACCGUGAGGCUUAACCUU
This 2904-nucleotide ribosomal RNA is filed under the name Escherichia coli KTE155. Its description in RNAcentral is "bacterial LSU rRNA". It matches the Rfam family "Bacterial large subunit ribosomal RNA". The record is from RNAcentral. Lineage: Bacteria; Pseudomonadati; Pseudomonadota; Gammaproteobacteria; Enterobacterales; Enterobacteriaceae.